This 61-nucleotide transfer RNA is filed under the name Fukomys damarensis (Damara mole-rat). It matches the Rfam family "tRNA", at positions 6 to 65 of the family's 71-position model. From Rfam's summary of the family: Transfer RNA (tRNA) molecules are approximately 80 nucleotides in length. Their secondary structure includes four short double-helical elements and three loops (D, anti-codon, and T loops). Lineage: Eukaryota; Metazoa; Chordata; Mammalia; Rodentia; Bathyergidae. The record is from Rfam by way of RNAcentral.
UAUAGCUCAGUGGUAGAGCAUGUUCUUAGCAUGCACAAGGCCCUAGGUUCAACUCCUAGUA